Molecule: unclassified non-coding RNA, 433 nt
Filed under: soil metagenome
Description: partial contains 5.8S ribosomal RNA, internal transcribed spacer 2, and large subunit ribosomal RNA
Rfam family: 5.8S ribosomal RNA (bases 2-121)
Source: RNAcentral
GGAUGAAGAACGUAGCGAAAUGCGAUACGUAAUGUGAAUUGCAGAAUUCAGUGAAUCAUCGAAUCUUUGAACGCAUAUUGCGCUCUCUGGUAUUCCGGAGAGCAUGCUUGUUUGAGUAUCAGUAAACACCUCAACUUCCAUAUCUUUUUUGAAAUGGGAGUUGGACUUGAGUGAUCCCAACGCUUUUCCUCACCGAAAAGUGGCGGGUUACUUGAAAUGCAGGUGCAGCUGGACUUUUCUCUGAGCUAUAAGCAUAUCUAUUUAGUCUGCCUAAAAAACAGAUUAUUACCUUUGCUGCAGCUAACAUAAAGGAGAUUAGUUCUUGUGCUGACUGAUGCAGGAUUCACAAAGACAGCUUCGGCCGACUUUGUAAACUCGAUCUCAAAUCAAGUAAGACUACCCGCUGAACUUAAGCAUAUCAAUAAGCGGAGGA